ACUGUUUCAUGCGUGCUGCGUGACACUCAACAUUAAACAGUGCUUCAAACGACAUCUAUGGAAUAGUUGAGAUAACUUGCGGAACAUCUGUACAGUUUUUGAUACCAACAGAAGGAAAACAAAUUUCAUUAAAACAUUUCGUCGAACGAGAUUUAUAAAGAAAAAUUUGAAAUCAGAUAGAGCGGGACAUGGAGAGUUACGAGCUGCUCCGACACUCAGUUGAGUCACCUACACCUGUACGAGGCUGGAGGUUCGCCAAAGAACUGAUAGCGUAGACGUCGUACCUUCGAAGAUGCCGGACACAAGGACGUGCACACCGGAGCGGCCUUUGAGAGGGGGAUGAAGCCUUUUUCCUCCUCGAUUGGCUGCAACCGCAACGGUUCGGGCCGGCCUCUUUUCACGCCGCUUUUCAUCAUCGCUUUCUGUUGUUCCCGGAGCCAGAACGAAAGGUGUUAAUGAAACUGGCUGCAUUCUCGUGCACCCGCACCUGCGACAUUCCUAGGAAUCCUCGCUAUUGCGCACGCCGUUAAUCACUGUUAAUGUCACUGAAGAAAUUAGAAUUGAAAGGCUGGUUGAAACACUCACCUCGUAAAACUCACUUCACUUGAACGAGAGCCCGCUUCGAGAUUGUCUUCCAAGAAAAUGCUUUCCGCAACUUAAUACAUAGAUUGCUUGAAAUUACUUACGACACAUCGCAGUCUCUUGCAUGACUCUAUUGUUAUGGUUGUCUACAAUCUGCAUUACGCGAAUGCUCGUGAAACUUAAAUAACGUCACCAUUGCAACAAUCGUGGAGGAGUGUUCUUCGGGAAACAGGAAAUUGGUUCGGUGAACAAAAGAUUUGUUGGGUUUUCUAACAUAAAUUGAAUAUCAACACCUUGGAGGAUCAAGCACACAAAUUUGUGUUUCUGUGUAAUCAAUCAUUUACGUUCUAGCGAAACGUCAUGUCAAAUGAUUGAAUUACAUCAUAUAAAUGAAUCUUUGUCGAAGAAAUUCCGCUGUACAUUAAUACGCCUUGUAUAUUUUCGAAGACCUAAAUAUUUCACAUAUGGCGAAACAUGCCGGGAAGAAGUUGCGUGCGAAAAACACACCGGUCCACAAAGUGUUAAUAAAACAAUGUAACACCUUCGCGCGAGUAACGCGUUAAUUAAUUUAUUAGUAUUUAAUAACAGGUAUUAACCUGCUUCGCGCGGUGUUAUCGACUUCCUGUCACAGAACUUUACGCCGAUAACGUUUAAUCGAGUAAAGCAAAAUCGAUAUAUCAGUAUCGUCAAUUCUUUAUUUCUUCCUUCAUACAUUAUUCUCUUAAUCAUGUAACAACAAGUGCCAGAUAACAAUUUCACAAUAUAUGUAUAUCAGCAACUUAAACGCAAGCAGGAACAUACGCCUGUGUAUAAAUAAACUCACGAGGAAACAAUAUAUCAUGUAUUAUAGAUACUCUUAGCUUAUCGAACGUUAAAUCCCUCGAAUUAAAAUCCGCGAUACGCGGUAUCGCUCAAGUAUCGGCCUGCGCGAGUUAUGCAGGCCAACGGAAAGGAAUUAUCGGUGUCUACAGUUACAUAUGUGUCACGCGAUGGAUGGAUCUUUUCCCUUUGGCCGGUUUUUUUUUUUUUGGCGUAAAACGAAGUUUUAUUGAACAAUUAUCUAUGCGCGCGUAAUGCGAAAAGCUUUCUCAAAACGGCUAGGCUCGUUAAAUAAAAUUCGCUUAUUGAGGCAAUGGGGAAACUUCAUUAUAUUUUCACUCUCAACUUCGUUUUACUCCUAACAAUAAAAUAAACCCUGUUAACAGCCCGUUAUAUAUAUUUUCCGCUUUACUAUUACUUAUACAAUACAAUAUUACUCAUAUCAACCAUUGUGAUUUACCAUUACCUUUGUUCAAAAAAAAAAAUCACAGAACACAUAAAGAUACUUUCAUACAGGCAAAAAAAUAACAUGCAAAACGAAGGAAUAUGAUAAAAGAUGCAACUUAUGAUGAUCUUUUGAAGCCGUGGUAUUUUACGUACCAAAUAUUAUGAGCCUUUGAAAUGAGCUCAAGAUUUGUGGGAAUAGUUAUAAGCGGAGCAGGUCCAGGUAUCCAACUCGUUUUC
Molecule: non-coding RNA, 2085 nt
Organism: Linepithema humile (Argentine ant)
Lineage: Eukaryota; Metazoa; Arthropoda; Insecta; Hymenoptera; Formicidae
Source: RefSeq, a predicted model, not a curated record